UUACCCACUCUCGGCGCGAGGAGGUAGUGACGAGAAAUAACGGGGCUGGCCCCUCGGGGUUCGGCGAUCGGAAUGGGUGCAAUCUAAAGCCUUGAACGAGCAUCUAUGAGAGGGCAAGUCUGGUGCCAGCAGCCGCGGUAAUUCCAGCUCUCAGAAUGCAUAGAACCAUUGCUGCGGUUAAAAAGCUCGUAGUUGGAUUUGUGCGCGGGCCCCGGACGUCGCCUCGGCGUCGCUCUGGGUGCCCCGUGCUUCGCGCCGGUCCCUCCGGGGGUUGGCGAGUUUACUUUGAACAAAUCAGAGUGCUCAAGACAGGCUGUACGCCUGAAUGCUCGUGCAUGGAAUAAUGGAAGAGGAUCUCGGUCCGACUUUGUUGGUUUUGCGGCCGAGGUAAUGGUCAAUAGGGGCGGACGGGGGCAUUCGUACUUCUGCGUGAGAGGUGAAAUUUUUGGACCGCAGGAAGACGCACGACAGCGAAGGCAAUUGCCAAGCACGUCCCCGUUAAUCAAGAACGAAAGUCAGAGGAUCGAAGGCGAUUAGAUACCGCCCUAGUUCUGACCGUAAACGAUGCCAACUAGCGAUCCGCCGGUGUCCUCCCCGGCCCCGGUGGGGAGCUUCCCGGAAACGAAAGUCUUCCGGUUCCGGGGGAAGUAUGGUUGCAAAGCUGAAACUUAAAGGAAUUGACGGAAGGGCACCACCAGGAGUGGAGCCUGCGGCUUAAUUUGACUCAACACGGGGAACCUCACCCGGGCACGACACCGUCGGGAUUGACAAACUGCAGACUUUUCAUGAUUCGGUGAGUGGUGGUGCAUGGCCGUUCUUAGUUCGUGGAGUGAUCAGUCAGGUUAAUUCCGGUAACGAGCGAGACUCUAGCCUGCUAGUUAGACCUGCUGCUACAGCUGCAGUCGGCGAGCUUCUUAGAGGGAUCCUCGGCGAACGAUAGCCGAAAGAGAUGGAGCGAUAACAGGUCUGUGAUGCCCCUCGAUGCCCGGGGCUGCACGCGCGCUACACUGGCAAAGGC
This 1018-nucleotide ribosomal RNA is filed under the name Malenchus sp. P5. RNAcentral's name for it is "bacterial SSU rRNA". It matches the Rfam family "Eukaryotic small subunit ribosomal RNA", at positions 441 to 1513 of the family's 1831-position model. Lineage: Eukaryota; Metazoa; Nematoda; Chromadorea; Rhabditida; Tylenchidae. The record is from RNAcentral.